CUUUCUUUCCUUGCUCUCUUCUCCUCCUCUCCCCUUCCAAGUCUUCUCUGUCGCAACGCUGCACCUCCCACGAUUCGAUCCAACGCACCUGCCGAUGGCGACAUCCUCUCAACUAGCCCCGCCGGUGGCCUCCAGAUCCAACCCAACACCUACCAGCUCAAGCCCAACCCCUACCCCGCAGCCAUGGCCAUGGCAGGGGGAGCCCGAAUCCCUACCCAUGGUGGCUAGGGUUUCGGUCACCUCCAACUCGAUCCGGUGCUGCUCCGGUGAAUCUCGAGCCCUCAAGCGCCGUUCCAUCUCCUAUAUGGCCUUGAUCUGCUCAAGGACGAUCGGUUCUUCGUCAACCUGCAAGGACGCGCGCCGACAGCAGGCAAUCUCCUCUCCGGCGAGCCCACCCAUGGCGACCAGGAUGGUCUCCCCCUCCCAAAUCCAGUACGGUCUCCCAAAUCUCCCUCUGCUCCUCAAGCGGCUGUUCACCCCCAACCUCCGGUCCAUGGAGCCAGCUCCAGCGUCAAGGACACAACGGAGGCAGCAGCAGCAAGCGGCUGUUGAUUGAUUGGUCACCACCAAGCUCAGGUCCAUGGAUUACUCCUUGCUGCAGCGUCAAGGGCACAAAGCUACAACCGGAGGAUGUAGGAUGCCCAGCCAUGGACGAGCAGCAGCAGCCGGAUGGAUGUGGUUUCCCUUGCUGCAAGACAUGGGUGUUGGAGAACCAAGUGGCCUUGCACGAGCUCAACCCUGGCGCUCUUCCUAAGGGCUAUGAGUUGAUGGCCACACUGCUGUUUUGCUCUGCUUGAUAAUUCUUUUACUCUCCAGUUUGCUUUGAUCUGCAUAGUUUCCAGUUGCUUAUAAAACGAUAAAACAAUGGUGAUGUGAGGUCCGACAAUGGUUUGUAAUUUUGGUUUCAUCCCCAACCUCUCCAGCUAGCUUCUUCUUCACAUAAUAUCAUAUUUGCACCUGCUGCUUCAUCAUUGAUUGGAUGGUCACCUACUAGCUAAGUAGCUUAGCUUGUAUUGCCAUCGAAUUGGUCCAGACUGUUUCACUUUGCUUAUUUCUUCUACUAGGUAUGUCACUUACAGCAUAAACAAACAAAUUGCUUAGCUCUCAACACUACAA
This is a long non-coding RNA of Triticum aestivum (bread wheat), 1116 nucleotides long. RefSeq lists it as uncharacterized. The record is from RefSeq and is a predicted model, not a curated record. Lineage: Eukaryota; Viridiplantae; Streptophyta; Magnoliopsida; Poales; Poaceae. The transcript is spliced from 5 exons.